RNAcentral lists this long non-coding RNA (1021 nucleotides) under Nicotiana benthamiana. RNAcentral's name for it is "long non-coding RNA (NBEN_LNC038316)". Lineage: Eukaryota; Viridiplantae; Streptophyta; Magnoliopsida; Solanales; Solanaceae. The record is from RNAcentral.
GGGAGUGUUAAGAAUAUAAUUCUAUUUGGAGUGAAUGUCUAUCUUGUAGAGAGUUUUACUUUGAUGCUAAGUCAUUUUUCCUUGUAUAAAUAGAGGGGUCUUACCCCAGUGUAAACCACCCCAAAAUUCAAUAAGAAUUCUCUCUCUUACUCUGCAAUAUUGCUCUUCUUCUUUUAUUAUUUUAUAACAGUAACUUAUUUAAACUAAAAACAAUAACUUAUUUAACUUAAAAAGGUAACUUGUUCAACCUAAAAAAAUAAUAACCCAUUUAACCAAAACAGUAGCUUAUUUUACCUAAAUAACUGUGUAAUUAUACUUAUAAUAAAACUAGAAUUAAACUAACAAUCCUAAUUAGGACAAAACAUUUAGAAAAGAAUUAUUUUUUAAAACAUAGAAGAAGAAUUAUUUGACUGAAGAAGAAAAAGAAGAAGCACAAAAUAAAAGAAAUAAGGGAGAUGAAUUACCUAAUUGAAACUCGAGCAAAUCAGCAAAGGCGGAAUCCGACGGGCCAAAUGAGCUUUGGCAAGUAAGGAGCAUUGUCCCACGAGCAUUGGUCAGAAUUUCUUCAUACGGCCAAUGUUUACGUAGCAAUUCCCAUCGCAUACCGAAAAAAAAAGAGAACAACGAUCAAAAUGGAUUCUAACCGGUCAAUAUGAAUUUGACCAAACUCAAAUGGCAAUGAGGCAAGGUAGAAAUGCCCACAAUUUGUGGUAUUCAGAGAAUGGAGUCGACUGAUGUAAAUUUUGACUUCAAACGGGCUAAAAAUCAAAAGAAAUUAGAAAAGGGGACGAAUUAAGUUAUUAGUAAUUCCAGAGUUGAAAUGACGGGCUUGGUGAGGAUUUUGGGAAACUAGUGGGAGAUUAGUGAUGAGGGAGGUGUGGGGAAUAUGGUAUAAAGAUUUGUGAUGGUUUGGAGCAUUUGCUGCCGCGUGGGCGAUUUCCGUCGGCAGCCAGCGGCGGAGGUUUAGAGAGAGGUGAAAGGAAGGAAACAAAGGUCUUCUCUAGUGCUUGGGGGGAGGNNN